CUAUUACAUUUUAAUUACUUUAAAACACUUUCAUAUUUUUGUGUUACUGUUCCUUUAAUGAUCAAGAAGGAAAUUUCUUUGGAAUGUAACCAGGACCAGGAGAAACAGGCCUACCUUCAACAUCUUGGGCGGAGAGUGGUACCUUAAAGGAACAGUAACACAAAAUUUUCAAAACGCAAAUUAAACUUUAAAACACUUUGAUUAACUUAUGUAACAUAGAAAGUUGUUAAUGAAUAAAUGACAUUACCUUGUAUGCAUAGGGCACAGUAAAAACAGCGAUGUGGCGACUGAUUUACUUCUGGUUAAAUUAAGUUAUUUUCCUGCAUUCUCUAGCGAGCAAGGAGAAUACUUUGAAGGGGAUUUAUAGCUUUUUUCAUUCCAGUUCAGGGAGAGGGGUGGGCAACAAAUGCUGUUUUAGCCCCUGCUCUGUUUUUAUUUCUGUGGGAGCGAGGGGGCUGCAGAGAUUGUACAGGAGAGGGAGGGGGCGGAGGGGGAAGCUGACCAGGAGUAUGUGACAAAAGGAGCUGCUGCCUGAGCCCUAUCAGUACUUGGUAAGGUUAUUAUUUAAAAUCUACUUAUGAUAUUAAUAUUUCUGUAUGAUAUAUUUUCUAAUAAAAAUGUAUAGAAGGCAUGUGUUUAAUGUAAAAUUUUUGUGUUACUGGUCCUUUAAGAUAGACUAAGGUGAACCCACAGAUCUUAGAGAAGGAGGCAUCUAUGAAAUUUCCUGCUGCUCCGGAAUCCAGGAAGGCCUGACAUGGGAAAAACAAGGUUUCCUGCAGGACAAUUCUGAAAAAAAGACCUGAACCAUCUGCAGAACCUGCUGCUGUAACAUAAUUUUCCUGUAUCAAUACUUGAUAGAUUAAGGUGAACCCGCAGAUCUUAGAGAAGGAGGCAUCUAUGAAAUUUCCUGCUGCUCCAGAAUCCAGGAAGGCCUGACAAGGGAACAACAAGGUUUCCUGCAGGACAAUUCUGAAAAAAAGACCUGAACCAUCUGCAGAACCUGCUGCUGUAACAUCAUUUUCCUGUAUCUGGUUUGGCCAGCUUGCUUUGUGAUGGGAUUAGACAGUAGUUAAUUGCAAUUUGCCCAGUCUGGCCCCACACUGUAUGAAAACAAAUGACAGGGGUGAACUGGGCUCAGAGUUGGGAGGAAGGAACUAAAGAAGUGGGCUAAACUGGAAAAAAUAGAGUUUUGUGGAAGAGGAGAGUGAAAAGAUGUGAGGGGUAGCGAAAAACAAAAGCAGUAGAAAGGGGUAGAGAAUAGGGAAACUAUGAACAGAAUACAGUGGGGUGGAACAAAUAUUAAUAGUACAUGGGAAAAUUGACAAAUGUAAGAAGAGAACUGAUACACUAAUAUGGAAAAAAAAAGAAAGAGGGCCACACUCCUUCUCCAAUAUUAAAAAAAUAACUUUUAUUGGUUCAUUAAAACCACAAGUGGCUACUGUAAUACAAAAAAACCUGACGCAUUUUGAACCCGUUAUCAUAGGCUAGCUUAGAUGACAUCCAUACAGUAAUUUUAAACAAUUGUAAACAGCUCUAUCUAAAUGUGUAAGACCAAACUUUUCACAAUACAAUUUAAUUAAAAAACAUUUAUUAUUUAUUAAAUAUAAGAAACUUUGAAUGGAAGAAAAUUCUAUACGUCUAGCUUAAUUUCCAGGUUAAAAUAUACAGCAUUUAUAAUAGUACAGGUAUGAGAUCCGUUACCCGGAAACCCGUUAUCCAGAAAGUUCCUAAUUGAAGGAAGACCA
Xenopus tropicalis (tropical clawed frog) is the source of this 1745-nucleotide long non-coding RNA. RefSeq lists it as uncharacterized. Lineage: Eukaryota; Metazoa; Chordata; Amphibia; Anura; Pipidae. The transcript has 4 exons. The record is from RefSeq and is a predicted model, not a curated record.